This 69-nucleotide transfer RNA is filed under the name Marmota monax (woodchuck). RNAcentral's name for it is "tRNA.Ser". The record is from RNAcentral. Lineage: Eukaryota; Metazoa; Chordata; Mammalia; Rodentia; Sciuridae.
GGGGCUGUGGCUCAGCGCUAGAGUGCUUGCCUAGAAUAUGCAAGGCGCUGGGUUCAAUCCUCAGCACCA